AUUGAACGCUGGUGGCAUGCUUUACACAUGCAAGUCGAACGGCAGCGCGGGCUUCGGCCUGGCGGCGAGUGGCGAACGGGUGAGUAAUACAUCGGAACGUGCCCAGUAGUGGGGGAUAGCUCGGCGAAAGCCGGAUUAAUACCGCAUACGACCUGAGGGUGAAAGCGGGGGAUCUUCGGACCUCGCGCUAUUGGAGCGGCCGAUGGCAGAUUAGCUAGUUGGUGGGGUAAAGGCCUACCAAGGCGACGAUCUGUAGCUGGUCUGAGAGGACGACCAGCCACACUGGGACUGAGACACGGCCCAGACCCCUACGGGAGGCAGCAGUGGGGAAUUUUGGACAAUGGGCGAAAGCCUGAUCCAGCAAUGCCGCGUGUGUGAUGAAGGCCUUCGGGUUGUAAAGCACUUUUGGCGGGAACGAAAAGGACUGUGCCAAUACCACGGUUCGAUGACGGUACCCGCAGAAUAAGCACCGGCUAACUACGUG
Molecule: ribosomal RNA, 484 nt
Filed under: uncultured bacterium
Lineage: Bacteria
Description: partial 16S ribosomal RNA
Rfam family: Bacterial small subunit ribosomal RNA
Source: RNAcentral